RNAcentral lists this ribosomal RNA (598 nucleotides) under uncultured bacterium. Its description in RNAcentral is "bacterial SSU rRNA". It matches the Rfam family "Bacterial small subunit ribosomal RNA", at positions 331 to 929 of the family's 1533-position model. The record is from RNAcentral.
CCAGACUCCUACGGGAGGCAGCAGUGAGGAAUAUUGGUCAAUGGGCGAGAGCCUGAACCAGCCAAGUCGCGUGAAGGACGACGGUUCUAUGGAUUGUAAACUUCUUUUGUAGAGGAAUAACGGUAGCUACGUGUAGCUGAGAUGCAUGUACUCUACGAAUAAGUAUCGGCUAACUCCGUGCCAGCAGCCGCGGUAAUACGGAGGAUACGAGCGUUAUCCGGAAUUAUUGGGUUUAAAGGGUGCGUAGGUGGCGUAUUAAGUCAGUGGUGAAAAGCUGCAGCUCAACUGUAGUCUUGCCGUUGAAACUGAUAUGCUAGAGAGGAGACGAGGUAUGCGGAAUGUGUGGUGUAGCGGUGAAAUGCAUAGAUAUCACACAGAACGCCGAUUGCGAAGGCAGCGUACCAGGCUCCGUCUGACACUGAAGCACGAAAGCGUGGGGAUCAAACAGGAUUAGAUACCCUGGUAGUCCACGCAGUAAACGAUGAAUACUAGAUUUUUGCGAUAUACUGUAAGAGUCUAAGCGAAAGCGAUAAGUAUUCCACCUGGGGAGUACGCCGGCAACGGUGAAACUCAAAGGAAUUGACGGGGCCCGCACAAG